Paramacrobiotus metropolitanus is the source of this 2300-nucleotide RNA transcript. RefSeq lists it as uncharacterized. NCBI's taxonomy places the organism in Eukaryota, Metazoa, Tardigrada, Eutardigrada, Parachela, Macrobiotidae. The record is from RefSeq and is a predicted model, not a curated record. The transcript is spliced from 3 exons.
GUGUUUGCACUUUGCAGUGUGCAACAGCCAGCUGCCAGCAGCACAAAAUACAAUAGUUGAACUUUUCUGAAAUGUUUGAGCAUUGAGACAUAUUGGUACAGCGCCGCUACAGCCGUACAGCGCAGUCCGUAGAAUAGCUUUCUCAAUUUACCUUCAGCCAUCUGUACGAUUCCCACUCUCAUCUUUCCCUGUUGUCUGCUAGCUGAAAAUGCACCUUUAUCACGGACGUUAUUUUGGUUACAAUCCCGUGUUCCAGUGGAACUCGGUGGAUGUGUAAACAGAGAACGGUCUCCUGCAGCACGGCGAAGUGAUCGAUAUGACGGAGAACGGCCUGAUCGUGGAUUUCCAAUGCAGCGAACAGCGCUCGCUCUUCAUCAGCUACGACAAGCUUUUUCUCCCUUCCCUGGACCGUUAUGUCGUGAUGCAGAAACAUUAUCACGAACAACUCCAGAGGAUCCCCACGGCAGUACAAAAUGCCAGCGUGCAGGUAUUGUGUCGCCCGCACCCGGGUGCGGCAUGGUGCUGGUACCCGGGACGGUUGCUGCGGCGCCCGUUCUUCUUUCCCCACACAGGAAGCAGCUUGGUGUGGGCCGCCGUCGACGUGGAGGGUCGCCGCCUAACGGAACUGUUCUCCGCUGAUCAGGUGCGCUUCCCGCGUUCCAAGCUGUGGCUGGCCCAACGAGCACUGCCGCCGGACUGCUUUGCUGUGCGAGAAUGUCGCCUGCCCGAUGGUUUCUGCCCGAUGCCCGCCUCUAAGGCGUCUGAUGGUCUACGUCGCCAACUGGAGAGGAAGGAUGUUCGUGUUAUAAGCAUUCUGGGUGGUACCGUCAAGUACCUGCAGCGAAGGGACGCCGAAGCCUUCUCCGAAGAGGAUGUGCAACAAGUAUGCGAAUUAAAUCAAAAAGCCUCCCAGCGCUUGCUCCAUAACGAGCAGGAGAAUCUCGGGCUAGAUCAGGUGCAUAUUGGUACGGAAGCGACCAGAAAGCGCAAACACCCCGACGACGAUGCCCAACCGGAAGUGGAGCGGGUGCUCCAACGGCACCGCAUCUCUUGCUGGAGAUCUUCCACUCGCUGGACAGCGUCAUCCGCGAGAAGCUGCGUCGCGUGUGUCCGCUGUGGAAUACCGUGCUGACCGGCGCCGACAGCGCGAAAACGGACCGUUUUCGGACCGGACCGUGUUUCCUUCCGGAUGAACCCGUUCUUUCCACUGGAAGAGGAGGAUUUCACCGACGUCUACGGCGCCGUGGCGGGCCUGCUGAAAUGCACCACCGCCACCACGGAACGGGUUAUUUUGGAGGAUAUGUACGCGGAACAGCUCGAUAGUACAUUUCUGGUGGUUAAAUGGGUGCUGCGAAAUACCCGGCUGAAACAACUGAUAUUCCAUCAUGUGGAGAUGGACUGGGAGUUUAAUUUCGGAUAUAAAUACGGCGACAACGGUGUCGUUGCUGUGACGGAGGACGAGGUGGAAGAGGAAGGCAGGAUAGUGUUCCAGCGUCUAGCCAAGACGCUAAAAAGUUUAGCACCGUAUUGCUGUGAACUUCGUCUGCAACGGUGUGAAUUCACGUCUUUGGAGAAAAUGAGCGCCGUUAUUCCGCAGGCGACGGUAACACUCGAUGCCCCGGAUUUGGAGGCACAAUUCCGGGAUCUCUAUGAGGCACAUCUGUCUCGCGAUGGAGUGGAUUUGGAGGAAAUGGCGGAGUGGAUUCGCACCGGAUCGCAGGACGUUCGCGAAAUGGUCGUGAAGUGGCAUAUUAACGUUAGCGCGUACAUUUCCCCGGCCGUUCCUCACCACAAUGACCCCAAUUAAUAUUGCGUUGAACUGUACAGUAUCUUAAGGACUGGCAAAGUCACGAUCCCCGCUCCACGACGCCGUAUCGUGGUCACGAAUGGACACUGGACAACCUGAAGGAUGUGGAUGUGUCCAAGCUGACCACCCUCACGCUGCGGGCUUUGAAGGAACGCCUUCCCGUGGAAAUGGAACGGAGCGAAGAUGAAGAAGAUAGCGACGUGGAACACGUGCAGUGACCGGCUAUCUGUCGUCCUUGUGUCGAUGUCGGGAACGGUUGUGUGGGGCAGCUGCCAUAGUUAUUAACUUUACCGAUUUGUUCACUGCUUCAGAUUUCUCCUUCUGUUUUGGUGUCGGAAACGGGAGUGUUCGAUUCUGUUGUACAAGCAGUCAGAGGAAGCGGUUAGCAUUUAGCAGAUUGUGAUUUGUGAGAACUAAUGACUUUUGAAUGUGCUCAGAUCAGAGUCAGAUGCGAUGAAUAAUUCUGGCAUAAUUCAUGCCUAGCGCUGUAAAU